AGAGUUUGAUCAUGGCUCAGGAUGAACGCUAGCGGCAGGCCUAAUACAUGCAAGUCAAGGGGGUCGCAAGACCACCGGCGGACGGGUGCGUAACGCGUACACAACAUGCCCUCAAGCGGGGGAUAGCUCUGGAAACUGGUGGUAAUACCCCAUGAGGUUGCGGGGAGGCAUUUUCCUGCGAUCAAAGUUUCGGCGCUUGGGGAUUGGUGUGCGUCCGAUUAGCUUGUUGGCGGGGUAACGGCCCACCAAGGCAUCGAUCGGUAGGGGGUGUGAGAGCAUGGCCCCCCACAUGGGUACUGAGACACGGACCCAACUCCUACGGGAGGCAGCAGUAAGGAAUAUUGGACAAUGGGCGGAAGCCUGAUCCAGCCAUGCCGCGUGAAGGACGAAGGCGCUCAGCGUUGUAAACUUCUUUUGGAUGGGGACAAUAACCGAGACUUGUCUUGGCUUGAGGGUACCAUCAGAAUAGCACCUGAUUGCCUC
This 483-nucleotide ribosomal RNA is filed under the name uncultured Spirosoma sp. Its description in RNAcentral is "bacterial SSU rRNA". It matches the Rfam family "Bacterial small subunit ribosomal RNA", at positions 8 to 504 of the family's 1533-position model. The record is from RNAcentral. Lineage: Bacteria; Pseudomonadati; Bacteroidota; Cytophagia; Cytophagales; Cytophagaceae.